CCUACGUGGGGCAGCAGUGAGGAAUAUUGGUCAAUGGGCGCGAGCCUGAACCAGCCAAGUAGCGUGAAGGAUGACUGCCCUACGGGUUGUAGACUUCUUUUAUGAAGGAAUAAAGUGAGGCACGUGUGCAUUUUUGCAUGUACUUUAUGAAUAAGGAUCGGCUAACUCCGUGCCAGCAGCCGCGGUAAUACGGAGGAUCCGAGCGUUAUCCGGAUUUAUUGGGUUUAAAGGGAGCGUAGAUGGGUCGUUAAGUCAGUUGUGAAAGUUUGCGGCUCAACUGUAAAAUUGCAAUUGAUACUGGCAGUCUUGAGUACAGUUGAGGUAGGGGGAAUUCGUGGUGGAGCGGUGAAAUGCUUAGAUAUCACGAAGAACCCCGAUUGCGAAGGCAGCUUACUAAGCUGUGACUGACAUUGAUGCUCGAAAGUGUGGGUAUCAAACAGGAUUAGAUACCCCUGUAGUC
Molecule: ribosomal RNA, 460 nt
Filed under: uncultured bacterium
Lineage: Bacteria
Description: partial 16S ribosomal RNA
Rfam family: Bacterial small subunit ribosomal RNA
Source: RNAcentral